Molecule: ribosomal RNA, 674 nt
Filed under: Beroe forskalii
Lineage: Eukaryota; Metazoa; Ctenophora; Nuda; Beroida; Beroidae
Description: eukaryotic LSU rRNA
Rfam family: 5.8S ribosomal RNA (bases 234-387)
Source: RNAcentral
ACGAAUCCAAUCUUACCUGCCUUAGCGGUACACUUGAUGCUGUUCUUCGGGGUCGACGUUCGCGUCGUUAAAUCGCCUGUGGGAAAGGGUAGGCACGCUCUUCUUUCGAGUAGGGGGUGUUUACCUGGGCGUGCCCCGAAUUAGUUUUUUCUUCCCACGAAUCCUCCUCUCAAUGCCUUAACGUAUCCGAUCCUCUUGAUCAUUUUGAACAAGAGAGUUGCCUAAAAGCGAACAACUUUUAACGGUGGAUCUCUUGGCUCGUGCAUCGAUGAAGAACGCAGCAAACUGCGAUAAGUAAUGUGAAUUGCAGAAUUUAGUGAAUCAUCGAAUCUUUGAACGCAAAUGGCGCUCUUGGGUAUUCCUAGGAGCACGCCUGUCUGAGCGUCGUUUCUCACAUCCAUCUCCGAAAGGAGCUGGGCAAUGAGGUGUCCCUUUGCUGUUCAAUGCAAACGGUCCCUUGAAGUAGAGCGAUCUCGAGAUGUACGGAAGUCCAUUCGUGGCCCGUCACUCUCGGUGUGGUAGUAAUAUCUCACCUGGAAGACGUGCUUCGCGAUGUGACUGAAGUGUCAUCAAUAAACGAGAUUGUGCUGGAAGGACAUUUCGUACCGAGAAUUCUCGGUAGGAGAUAGACCAAUCAAGACCUCAGAUCAGACCAGACUACCCGNNGAACUUAA